ACUCCUACGGGAGGCAGCAGUGGGGAAUAUUGGACAAUGGGCGAAAGCCUGAUCCAGCCAUGCCGCGUGAGUGAUGAAGGCCCUAGGGUUGUAAAGCUCUUUCACCGGUGAAGAUAAUGACGGUAACCGGAGAAGAAGCCCCGGCUAACUUCGUGCCAGCAGCCGCGGUAAUACGAAGGGGGCUAGCGUUGUUCGGAUUUACUGGGCGUAAAGCGCACGUAGGCGGACUAUUAAGUCAGGGGUGAAAUCCCGGGGCUCAACCCCGGAACUGCCUUUGAUACUGGUAGUCUUGAGUUCGAGAGAGGUGAGUGGAAUUCCGAGUGUAGAGGUGAAAUUCGUAGAUAUUCGGAGGAACACCAGUGGCGAAGGCGGCUCACUGGCUCGAUACUGACGCUGAGGUGCGAAAGCGUGGGGAGCAAACAGGAUUAGAUACCCUUGUAGUCCCA
RNAcentral lists this ribosomal RNA (446 nucleotides) under uncultured organism. Its description in RNAcentral is "partial 16S ribosomal RNA". It matches the Rfam family "Bacterial small subunit ribosomal RNA", at positions 335 to 797 of the family's 1533-position model. The record is from RNAcentral.